This 498-nucleotide ribosomal RNA is filed under the name uncultured bacterium. RNAcentral describes it as "partial 16S ribosomal RNA". It matches the Rfam family "Bacterial small subunit ribosomal RNA", at positions 28 to 508 of the family's 1533-position model. RNAcentral also lists the same sequence under 1 other name. The record is from RNAcentral.
GAUGAACGCUGGCGGCGUGCCUAAUACAUGCAAGUAGAACGCUGAAGGAAGGAGCUUGCUCUUUCCGGAUGAGUUGCGAACGGGUGAGUAACGCGUAGGUAACCUGCCUGGUAGCGGGGGAUAACUAUUGGAAACGAUAGCUAAUACCGCAUAACAGUAGAUGUUGCAUGAUAUCUACUUAAAAGGUGCAAUUGCACCACUACCAGAUGGACCUGCGUUGUAUUAGCUAGUUGGUGAGGUAACGGCUCACCAAGGCGACGAUACAUAGCCGACCUGAGAGGGUGAUCGGCCACACUGGGACUGAGACACGGCCCAGACUCCUACGGGAGGCAGCAGUAGGGAAUCUUCGGCAAUGGACGGAAGUCUGACCGAGCAACGCCGCGUGAGUGAAGAAGGUUUUCGGAUCGUAAAGCUCUGUUGUAAGAGAAGAACGAGUGUGAGAGUGGAAAGUUCACACUGUGACGGUAUCUUACCAGAAAGGGACGGCUAACUACGUGC